UAUUUGGGUCAUCCAGGCAGACUGGGUUGUGUCUCUUCGCAUACACGUUGGUUGAAAUUCUGAGUUGUUUUUCGCUUUCCAGGAAUCUGUGGAGCUUAGUUCAAUUUUCUGAAGGUUGGGUCGAUUACAGUCUAUCGUAGCAGACACUGAGGAUAGGAAGAAGAAGAAGAAAAAAGGGGAAAAGAAGAGAGAAAGAAAAGAGAAAAAGAAAGAAAAAGAGAGAGUUUAUUCUCUUUCGGACAUGUGUUCUGUUUUGGAAGAUCCUUAACUUGCUUUGUGGACUGAGACGAUAAUGUCUCCGAUGUUAAGUAGCUGGCAUCAGGUAUCUUAUUCCCAGUCUGGCAGGCCCAAGCACAUGUAUCCAGAUUCACCACUGUGCUACAGUAUUUGAAAGUUAUUGGAUCAGAGCCGUUCGUUGUUCUUUGGAAAGAAAAAAAAAGUACAGAUAA
This is a long non-coding RNA of Protopterus annectens (West African lungfish), 449 nucleotides long. RefSeq lists it as uncharacterized. Lineage: Eukaryota; Metazoa; Chordata; Ceratodontiformes; Protopteridae. The transcript is spliced from 2 exons. The record is from RefSeq and is a predicted model, not a curated record.